RNAcentral lists this ribosomal RNA (253 nucleotides) under uncultured bacterium. Its description in RNAcentral is "partial 16S ribosomal RNA". It matches the Rfam family "Bacterial small subunit ribosomal RNA", at positions 524 to 776 of the family's 1533-position model. The record is from RNAcentral.
AACGUAGGAUCCGAGCGUUAUCCGAAUUCACUGGGCGUAAAGCGCGUGCAGGCGGCAUAGAAAGUUGGAUGUGAAAUCUCCCGGCUCAACUGGGAGAGGACGUUCAAAACUACUAGGCUAGAGGAUGGUAGAGGAAGGCGGAAUUCCCGGUGUAGUGGUGAAAUGCGUAGAUAUCGGGAGGAACACCAGUGGCGAAGGCGGCCUUCUGGGCCAUACCUGACGCUCAGACGCGAAAGCUAGGGGAGCAAACGGG